Molecule: non-coding RNA, 122 nt
Organism: Podarcis lilfordi (Lilford's wall lizard)
Lineage: Eukaryota; Metazoa; Chordata; Lepidosauria; Squamata; Lacertidae
Source: the annotation of a GenBank genome assembly
CCCUAGUGGGUUCUCUCUCUCUCUCUCUCUCUCUCUCUCUCUCUGUGUGUGUGUGUGUGUGUGUGUGUGUGAGAGAGAGAGAGAGAGAGAGAGAGUGAGUGAGAGAGAGAGAGAAUGUGUAA